GUUGCUGCCUGUGAGAGGUGUGCUCGUACACUUGCUUCAUCUCUUGGCAGAUGAGGGAGGAGAACGCAAACCAUUAAUGAUCAUGCUACACCGAGAAAAUGAUACUUUGGGAUUCAAUAUUAUAGGAGGACGACCCAAUCAGAAGAAUCAGGAGGAGUCUGCUGAGGGAAUUUAUGUGUCAAAGAUUUUGGAAAAUGGACCUGCAGACAAAGCAGAAGGCCUGCAAAUUCAUGACAAGAUUAU
Non-coding RNA from Cyanistes caeruleus (blue tit), 243 nucleotides. The record is from RefSeq and is a predicted model, not a curated record. NCBI's taxonomy places the organism in Eukaryota, Metazoa, Chordata, Aves, Passeriformes, Paridae.